UUGGGAUUACAAAUGCAAUACGGUCUUUCUCUAAUCUAAUACUCCUGACCACAUUGUUUGGUUUAAUAGUUUAUUUAUUCAUGUCUACUAUCCAAUGUGAUUCGUGUGCUUAUAUGAUUUCCUUGAAGGUGAUUUAGAACGACUUUUCUAAAUCUCAUUCAUACUCUGGCCAGAGAUUCUUAAUCAUAUCAUAGAGUAUUCUCCUUCA
Molecule: long non-coding RNA, 208 nt
Filed under: Malus domestica (apple)
Lineage: Eukaryota; Viridiplantae; Streptophyta; Magnoliopsida; Rosales; Rosaceae
Description: long non-coding RNA (MDOM_LNC018585)
Source: RNAcentral